Molecule: long non-coding RNA, 2182 nt
Organism: Thunnus maccoyii (southern bluefin tuna)
Lineage: Eukaryota; Metazoa; Chordata; Actinopteri; Scombriformes; Scombridae
Exons: 3
Source: RefSeq, a predicted model, not a curated record
AAAUAAAUUCUAAUCUUGUUCUGAAUUUAUUUUUUAAAAAAGAAUAAAUUCAGAACAGAAUUUAGGGCUCGACUUUAAGGCUUGUCCGAUUUCUUUAUACGACAAAUGGAAAAGAAAUUUACUUGUCCCACCACACAAGUUAAAAGUCACAAAAAAAAUCCUCACAAUGUUUCAUCUGCUCUGCACCUUUACUGUGCGCACUGAAAAAGAGGGAUGAUGCAUCACAGACAGACAAAAUCUGUGACGAGAUGUCAAGAGGCAGAUAUUCACAUUUUAUUACAUAAUGAAAAGGUCCAAACCUUCAGAUGCACAAGAAAGAAAACGGAGAAAAGAGGAGGAGGAAAAGAAAGUCCAAUAUAGAGGUAUGUCGUCUAAUGUUAACAUAGCUAGCUAAGAAGCAAUAAAGCUAAUGCUAGAUAAUGAUGCUACGAUAGCUGCUGGACUCACAUAUCGUUACAGAUUGAAGGAUAUGAGACUGAAUGACAAGCCAGUAGCGAGCUAUCUGGAUAACUGCUCCUUCCUACAACAUGCACUCAGGAAAUAUCUGCAGAAGCCUCCAGCUGCUGGAGAAGUUACAUCUGAUCUCCCAUCUACACCACUCUCUGAAGCAGAUUUAACUGCAGGUGAAGCAACAACAGACACAACAGACACUUCUACUACUCUACAGCCUGCAGACACCAUCAACUGGAACAGAUCCUGAAGUAUGUGAGUCCAUCAAGGCAGCAGCUAUAGAUCCUGCUGACUGGCAGCCCUGUCUGAUAUGGUGAGGACAGAGAUAGUCAGCAGAGGCCAUAUCAGCUAAAAUAAGACUCGACAUUUACAAAAUGAGAGGAUGGGAGAAGUUCCCAUCACCACCACUUCUACAGAAAAUAAGUGAAUGGAGAGAAAAUCAAGAGAAGUUGGUUGGGUAUAUUCCAAGAAAAAAUUUAAAAAAGUCUUUACUGCUUCUGCUGCAACCUGUUCUCACAAAAAAACUACAAACUAAUCAGUAAUUGAUUUAAUGACUGGAAAAAUUGCAGUGAAAUACUCAAAACCCACGAGAACAGUCCAGGGAUCUCAUUUGUUGAGUAAGCAGGAACGGGGCCUGAAAGAGGCGUACGCCACUUCCCAAGCAAAAGUUGUGAUCUAUAAAAACAAACUUGAUGGGACAAUGUGCGCACCUGCACCUAAACUCUUACCCAUGCGUAGGAACAUUUUAGAGACAGGGGAAAUCAACGAUGCAGAAUUGAAGUGAAUUGAAGGCAGAUUGUAUAAUAAUCCUCUCACACAUUUCAUUUGACUUAAUAUCAAACAUCAAUUAUAGAUCCACAUUAUCAGAAACACUCAAACCAGCAGUGUUAUCUGUACUUUGGCUUGUAGUGAGCCAUAACUUCCAUAAACAUCUUUCAAUUUGUAAAGAUAUAAAGCAACUCAGAUGUUAAAGUCUGCCCAACAUUUCAUCAGUGCUGCCUCACCCGGAGCACAAAGGAGAGAGUCAGUUGUGGAGCAGCAGCAGCUGAAAUGAAUGAUGUCAGGAUGUGGCAGGUGGCAGGAUUCUGCAAAGUCUGGGUUGCCUUUCUCCAAUAUUAGCUAAGCAUGAAAAUAUUGAUUCAUUUUCACCUUGGCCACGUUAACUUACUGAUGAAAUGAUCAUCAUUGAUUGUAGAAAUCCAAGAUGACAUCAAAUAACUUCAACAAACGUAACUAAAACAUAUUUACAGGACAGAGCGUUAAUAGAUUUUUAAUAUUUGGUUAUACUGUGCAUAUAUCACCAAGUAUGAGUUCCCAUGUAGUUUAUAUGUGUAAAAUGGCUACAGUAAACACGGCUGUAUUGUCAAGCACAGAGACACUGGAGACACAGCGGUGGCUGCCACACACACUCUGCCUUCUCCAGUCACCUCACCGGCUCAUCUUCACCACCUGUGCUCACUGUGUCAAUUAGAGAAAUACCUGUAUGCUGGAUUUUGGAGUAAAUAUAAACUAAUAUAGUGUUUAUUGUAUUUUACAUAUUGAGUGAGUGGUGUAAAAACUACUUAUACUGGUUAACUGGGAGCUUGCCCACUGCAGGGUGUGUUAAACAUUUAACCAGAGAUGUCUGACUUAACAAUCCACAGGAAUGUUUAUUGAGGUUGUAUAUGGUUGUUUUGGGUUACACACAUAAUUUCAAUACGUGUGAAAACGGGGAAAUAAAAGGUUAAAUGUC